RNAcentral lists this ribosomal RNA (420 nucleotides) under uncultured bacterium. Its description in RNAcentral is "bacterial SSU rRNA". It matches the Rfam family "Bacterial small subunit ribosomal RNA", at positions 356 to 773 of the family's 1533-position model. The record is from RNAcentral.
AAGGAAUAUUGGGCAAUGGACGCAAGUCUGACCCAGCCAUGCCGCGUGCAGGAUGAAGGCCCUAUGGGUUGUAAACUGCUUUUGUACGGGAAGAAAUCCCCUGACGUGUCAGGGGUUGACGGUACCGUGCGAAUAAGCACCGGCUAACUCCGUGCCAGCAGCCGCGGUAAUACGGAGGGUGCAAGCGUUAUCCGGAUUCAUUGGGUUUAAAGGGUGCGCAGGCGGAAUGAUAAGUCAGUGGUGAAAUCCUACGGCUCAACUGUAGAACUGCCAUUGAUACUGUCAUUCUUGAGUAUAGUUGAAGUGGGUGGAAUGUAUCAUGUAGCGGUGAAAUGCAUAGAUAUGAUACAGAACUCCGAUAGCGAAGGCAACUCACUAAACUAAAACUGACGCUCAUGCACGAAAGCGUGGGGAGCAAAC